AGUGAACGCUGGCGGUAGGCCUAACACAUGCAAGUCGAACGGCAGCACAGUAAGAUCUUGCUCUUACCGGUGGCGAGUGGCGGACGGGUGAGGAAUACAUCGGAAUCUACUUUUUCGUGGGGGAUAACGUAGGGAAACUUACGCUAAUACCGCAUACGACCUACGGGUGAAAGCAGGGGAUCUUCGGACCUUGCGCGAUUGAAUUAGCCGAUGUCGGAUUAGCUAGUUGGCGGGGUAAAGGCCCACCAAGGCGACGAUCCGUAGCUGGUCUGAGAGGAUGAUCGGCGACACUGGAACUGAGACACGGUCCAGACUCCUACGGGAGGCAGCAGUGGGGAAUAUUGGACAAUGGGCGCAAGCCUGACCCAGCCAUACCGCGUGGGUGAAGAAGGCCUUCGGGUCGUAAAGCCCUUUUGUUGGGAAAGAAAAGCAGCAGGUUAAGACCACGCUGUUCUGACGGUACCCAAAGAAUAAGCACCGGCUAACUUCGUG
RNAcentral lists this ribosomal RNA (492 nucleotides) under uncultured bacterium. RNAcentral describes it as "partial 16S ribosomal RNA". It matches the Rfam family "Bacterial small subunit ribosomal RNA", at positions 29 to 507 of the family's 1533-position model. The record is from RNAcentral.